GACGAACGCUGGCGGCGUGCUUAACACAUGCAAGUCGAACGGAAAGGCCCUGCUUUUGUUGGGUGCUCGAGUGGCGAACGGGUGAGUAACACUUGAGUAACCUGCCCUUUACUUUGGUAUAACUUCAGGAAACUUGUGCUAAUACCGGAUAUGAUCUCCUGCUUCAUGGUUGGGGUUUGAAAGUUUCGGCGGUUGGGGAUGGACUCGCGGCUUAUCAGCUUGUUGGUGGGGUAGUGGCUUACCAAGGCUUUGACGGGUAGCAGGCAUGAGAGGGUGACCGGCAAAAUUGGGACUGAGAGACGGCACAGAAUGCAACGGGAGGCAGCAGUGGGGAAUAUUGCACAAUGGGAGGAAGAAUGAUGCAGAAAAGCAGCGUGCGGGAUGACGGCCUUGGGGUUGUAAACAGAAUUAGAAUGUGAAGAAGAGUGAGUGACGGUAAUGGGUAAAGAAGCACCGGCUAACUACGUG
RNAcentral lists this ribosomal RNA (468 nucleotides) under uncultured bacterium. RNAcentral describes it as "partial 16S ribosomal RNA". It matches the Rfam family "Bacterial small subunit ribosomal RNA", at positions 28 to 507 of the family's 1533-position model. The record is from RNAcentral.